CCAAUGAUCUUUGCUGAUCUACAUACUUAUCAUAUUUAUAUCAAUAAAAUAGUUGAUUGACUUAUUGUAUUAUUUUCAUACCAAUCGGCUUGAUUUAGUUAGAUCGGCAGUUAUCUAUGUUCCAUCGGCUCACGAGAAUUGUAUGCAAAUUGGUUUUAGCCGAUCGUAACACAUGAUUCAUUGUUUAUUCCAAGUAAUUCCUCG
Molecule: long non-coding RNA, 204 nt
Filed under: Oryza brachyantha (malo sina)
Lineage: Eukaryota; Viridiplantae; Streptophyta; Magnoliopsida; Poales; Poaceae
Description: long non-coding RNA (OBRA_LNC003076)
Source: RNAcentral